Molecule: ribosomal RNA, 371 nt
Filed under: Enterococcus faecium
Lineage: Bacteria; Bacillati; Bacillota; Bacilli; Lactobacillales; Enterococcaceae
Description: partial 23S ribosomal RNA
Rfam family: Bacterial large subunit ribosomal RNA
Source: RNAcentral
AUAAGGGCGCACGGUGGAUGCCUUGGCACUAGGAGCCGAUGAAGGACGGGACUAACACCGAUAUGCUUUGGGGAGCUGUACGUAAGCUAUGAUCCAGAGAUUUCCGAAUGGGGGAACCCAGCAUCUUUAAUAGGAUGUUACGAUUGUGUGAAUACAUAGCACAUUCGAGGUAGACGCAGAGAACUGAAACAUCUAAGUACCUGCAGGAAGAGAAAGAAAAUUCGAUUCCCUGAGUAGCGGCGAGCGAAACGGGAAAAGCCCAAACCAACAAGCUUGCUUGUUGGGGUUGUAGGACUCCAAUAUGGUCGUUCUUUCAGAUAGUCGAAUGACUUGGAAAAGUCAGUCAAAGAGGGUAAAAACCCCGUAGACGA